This 1214-nucleotide long non-coding RNA is filed under the name Musa acuminata (dwarf banana). RNAcentral describes it as "long non-coding RNA (MACU_LNC000891)". The record is from RNAcentral. Lineage: Eukaryota; Viridiplantae; Streptophyta; Magnoliopsida; Zingiberales; Musaceae.
AUAAGAACAGCCAGCAGGCGAUGAAAUGGGCGGUCGACCACCUCCUCAUCAACACCAACUCCAUAAUCCUCGUCCAUGUCAGGACCCAGCCAGAUCUCCUUAAUAGUAGGCAUCUUUCAUGUUCAGCAUCGUCAUUCUCGAUUGCUACCUUGCAACAACAAAAACAGACAUUAUGUUCUAUCUAGUAUCAGAAUGAGCAUAUCAAGUUCAUGUUCAUCCUUCCGAGUUUCGUAUCUAAUUUGACAAGGUUUUCUUUCAUUACUAAUAGCAGAGUAAUAUUUCUGCAGGUGGUUUAUCUGUGACCGAAGCCAACCAAGAAAUGAGCAAAGAGCAAGUGGAAGCUGAGCUUACACAACUCUUUGUUCCAUAUCGUGGAUUCUGUGCUCGCAAAGGGGUAUGCUCUUGCUCCUUAUGUGAAUUAGAAUACAAUGAUAUCACUUAACAUCAAACAGAUAAAAAGUGGCUGAGGCAGAAUAAAGCAUGUUAGAAUCUCAUGAUGCCAUGAUACUAACUUUCAUAUACAAAGUUCAAAAAGCAUAAAUGUCUGAGGCAGAGUAAAGCAAAUUAGAAUCUGAUAACAUCAGGAAUAUUAAAUUUUAUAUGAAACAAGGUCAGCUGCUGCUUCCUUUACUUGCGCUGUAGUCUUCAGCGGUACGAUGAGCCUAGAGCGAGUAAAAUUUCAUGGCAGCCACAGAUGACUUCCUCAUGUGGUGUCCUUGUCAACUGUUCAUGUAAAAGUUUACUUGCUCAUCUUAAGUUCAAAAGAGUUUGUCAAUUUCAUUUUAGAGAUCUGUAUUUUGAUCACGAGGAACAAGUAGUUGUUGCAGAAAACAGAGCUAAUGUGCUACAUUGACAUUGUAGAGUCUCUAUAACAUCGAAAGGAAGCAUUAUUCAUCUAUGGGCUUUUUAUUUUGAUGUAAGGAUCUAGUUCUACAUGAGUGUAAUGACAGGAUUAUAGUUGCAUGAUGAUGACUGAAAGAUGUGUGGAACUGUGAAUUUGGAAAAUGAAGAUGUUCAUACAUACCAGAGUACUGAUCAGGUUGAUAGUCCAAGAUGAUUGAAUUACUCGACCAUUAAUAACAGAACUUUUUGUUGAACUUCUUCCGGAAACAAACAGUUGCAGCUGACGGAGGUGAUUUUGGAAGAUUUUGAUGUCUCGAAAGCCAUCAUCGACUACAUCACCUCAAACAACAUCCAGAAUGUCGUAGUUGGUG